RNAcentral lists this transfer-messenger RNA (348 nucleotides) under Rhodobacteraceae bacterium WD3A24. Its description in RNAcentral is "Alphaproteobacteria transfer-messenger RNA". It matches the Rfam family "Alphaproteobacteria transfer-messenger RNA". From Rfam's summary of the family: Bacterial tmRNA, also known as 10Sa RNA or SsrA, is named for its dual tRNA and mRNA-like properties. Its role is to liberate the mRNA from a stalled ribosome. Lineage: Bacteria; Pseudomonadati; Pseudomonadota; Alphaproteobacteria; Rhodobacterales; Paracoccaceae. The record is from Rfam by way of RNAcentral.
CCCCUUGAGCGGCACGGCGCGCGCGCCUAUAUUGGAGGUGUCCCGCAAGGGACUAUGGCGAUAAACGCGCACGGAAUAAGCGGAUCGGACCCGGGGGCGGUACCCGGCGGCUCCACCAGAUCACCCGCGUUGGGGGGCAUGGGGCCGAAACAGGAUCGACGAACGUGUAAAGGUGUUGCUUUCGCCCGGUGAGCUACCACCGUUAUCGGUGCACAAAGUACAGUUGCCAACGACAACCGUGCUCCGGUCGCCGUUGCUGCGUAAGCAGUAACGAGACCGAAACUUAAGCCCUUGCGCCUAGCAGCGUAAGGCGGGGUUCGCAGGCACCUGGCAACAGAAGCCUGCACU